AGAGUUUGAUCAUGGCUCAGAAUCAACGCUGGCGGCGUGCCUAACACAUGCAAGUCGAACGCGAAAGUGGAGCAAUCCAUGAGUAGAGUGGCAAACGGGUGAGUAACGCGUGGGUGACCUGCCUUCGAGUGGGGGAUAACGUUCCGAAAGGGACGCUAAUACCGCAUGACAUCCGGCCUUUGAAGAGGCGGAGAUCAAAGCUGGGGAUCGCAAGACCUAGCGCUCGAUGAGGGGCCCGCGUCUGAUUAGCUAGUUGGUGGGGUAACGGCUCACCAAGGCAACGAUCAGUAUCCGGCCUGAGAGGGCGGACGGACACACUGGGACUGAGACACGGCCCAGACUCCUACGGGAGGCAGCAGUGGGGAAUUGUUCGCAAUGGGCGCAAGCCUGACGACGCAACGCCGCGUGGAGGAUGAAGAUCUUCGGGUCGUAAACUCCUUUCGAUCGAGACGAACAGCUUCCGGGUGAACAAUCCGGAGGUCUGACGGUACCGAGAGAAGAAGCCCCGGCUAACUCCGUGCCAGCCGCCGCGGUAAUAC
This 539-nucleotide ribosomal RNA is filed under the name uncultured bacterium. RNAcentral's name for it is "bacterial SSU rRNA". It matches the Rfam family "Bacterial small subunit ribosomal RNA", at positions 8 to 526 of the family's 1533-position model. The record is from RNAcentral.